GAGCUGACCCCAAGGCCAAGACCCAAUGGUGCCUCUUCCGUCUAGACCCAUGUUGGGUCUCCAUCAUUUCACCCAUCUCUCACUGCAUGGAGCUCACUCCAUGGCCUUUCAUUAUUAUAGGACCCAUCCACCAAUCCCUGUCUCUCCUGGGUGUUGAGCACUUAAGUGUAUCCUUUAGAUGGUGAAGCAAGUAAAAAUGAUCUCUCUAGCAAACUCAUCCUCUUCAGAGCAGACAUGAACCUCUCAGGGAGUGCACUCCUGCUCCUGCAUAAGUAGGAGCUCUUCGGAUGAUGUGGAGACUUCAGAAAAACCUGUGUAGAAGCUGCUUGAGCCACAGUAAUGUGACAGCAUUCCAGGCAAUUUUAUUGGAGGACCUCUUUCUCAGGAAAGAAGAAUACCCGAAUCCUUUAAUAAAGUUUCAACAAUGUGCAAAGUA
This is a long non-coding RNA of Mastomys coucha (southern multimammate mouse), 436 nucleotides long. RefSeq lists it as uncharacterized. NCBI's taxonomy places the organism in Eukaryota, Metazoa, Chordata, Mammalia, Rodentia, Muridae. The record is from RefSeq and is a predicted model, not a curated record. The transcript is spliced from 3 exons.